RNAcentral lists this ribosomal RNA (372 nucleotides) under uncultured organism. Its description in RNAcentral is "partial 16S ribosomal RNA". It matches the Rfam family "Bacterial small subunit ribosomal RNA", at positions 527 to 896 of the family's 1533-position model. The record is from RNAcentral.
GUAGGCGGCAAGCGUUGUCCGGAAUUAUUGGGCGUAAAGCGCGCGCAGGGCGGUCCUUUAAGUCUGAUGUGAAAGCCCACGGCUCAACCGUGGAGGGUCAUUGGAAACUGGGGGACUUGUGUACAGAAGAGGAAAGCGGAAUUCCAAGUGUAGCGGUGAAAUGCGUAGAGAUUUGGAGGAACACCAGUGGCGAAGGCGGCUUUCUGGUCUGUAACUGACGCUGAGGCGCGAAAGCGUGGGGAGCAAACAGGAUUAGAUACCCUGGUAGUCCACGCCGUAAACGAUGAGUGCUAAGUGUUAGGGGGUUUCCGCCCCUUAGUGCUGCAGCUAACGCAUUAAGCACUCCGCCUGGGGAGUACGGCCGCAAGGCUG